AGCGAACGCUGGCGGCAGGCUUAACACAUGCAAGUCGAGCGGGCACUUUCGGGUGUCAGCGGCGGACGGGUGAGUAACGCGUGGGAACGUGCCCUCUGGUUCGGAAUAACUCAGGGAAACUUGAGCUAAUACCGGAUACGCCCUUUUGGGGAAAGGCUUGCUGCCGGAGGAUCGGCCCGCGUCUGAUUAGCUAGUUGGUGAGGUAACGGCUCACCAAGGCGACGAUCAGUAGCUGGUCUGAGAGGAUGAUCAGCCACACUGGGACUGAGACACGGCCCAGACUCCUACGGGAGGCAGCAGUGGGGAAUAUUGGACAAUGGGCGCAAGCCUGAUCCAGCCAUGCCGCGUGAGUGAUGAAGGCCUUAGGGUUGUAAAGCUCUUUUAUCCGGGACGAUAAUGACGGUACCGGAGGAAUAAGCCCCGGCUAACUUCGCG
Molecule: ribosomal RNA, 435 nt
Filed under: uncultured bacterium
Lineage: Bacteria
Description: partial 16S ribosomal RNA
Rfam family: Bacterial small subunit ribosomal RNA
Source: RNAcentral